AACGAACGCUGGCGGCAUGCCUAACACAUGCAAGUCGAACGAACCCUUCGGGGUUAGUGGCGCACGGGUGCGUAACGACGUGGGAAUCUGCCCUUCGGUUCGGAAUAACAGUUAGAAAUGACUGCUAAUACCGGAUAAUGACGUAAGUCCAAAGAUUUAUCGCCGAAGGAUGAGCCCGCGUAGGAUUAGCUAGUUGGUGAGGUAAAAGCUCACCAAGGCGACGAUCCUUAGCUGGUCNGAGAGGAUGAUCAGCCACACUGGGACUGAGACACGGCCCAGACUCCUACGGGAGGCAGCAGUGGGGAAUAUUGGACAAUGGGCGAAAGCCUGAUCCAGCAAUGCCGCGUGUGUGAAGAAGGCCUUC
Molecule: ribosomal RNA, 364 nt
Filed under: uncultured bacterium
Lineage: Bacteria
Description: bacterial SSU rRNA
Rfam family: Bacterial small subunit ribosomal RNA
Source: RNAcentral